CGGGUGGAGUAUAAAGGAAGGAGUGUGAAUUUUGGGGUUGAAGAGCUAUGAGUUCUAACCUGGCCUCACUACUGUAUUACUUCUGUGAUCCGGGGCACAUGGCUUCCUCAUUGGAGCAGUGUCAGAGGGGAGAUUGAGGGGUGAUUCCACUGAAUGAAAGGGGAGAAUGUGAAGUAGACGGCCUGCCAGGUGAUUCACAGCUCUCAAGUAUUACUAUCACAGAAGCACAAUGCUAGUGAUGAAUUUAGGAGCACGGCCUCCGAAACUGGCAAACGAAAAGUGCAGGCAGUAAUAGCAGAAGCAUUCGUGGACCACUCCCUCGAAUUAAUGAGGAGUUCUAACAUUGUGCCAUGUUUGCCUCAGCGCUUCU
Long non-coding RNA from Suricata suricatta (meerkat), 370 nucleotides. RefSeq lists it as uncharacterized. Lineage: Eukaryota; Metazoa; Chordata; Mammalia; Carnivora; Herpestidae. The transcript is spliced from 3 exons. The record is from RefSeq and is a predicted model, not a curated record.